AAAAACGCUAUGAACGGAAUAAGUAUCAUCAGCUUUUCUUCAAAGAGAGUCAGUGCCCGGUGAAAACUGACAGAAAACUGAUGAGAAUCCAUCCCGGAGCGUCUGGUGAUGAGCCAGGACGGAUCCUCCCCGUUACGGAGGUCGAGCCGGAAGAGCAGCUGCUCUUCAACCGGGGUGGUAUCGCGGGAAGUCAGACUCUCGUCCCUUUU
RNAcentral lists this non-coding RNA (209 nucleotides) under Salimicrobium jeotgali. Its description in RNAcentral is "T-box sequence". It matches the Rfam family "T-box leader". From Rfam's summary of the family: Uncharged tRNA acts as the effector for transcription antitermination of genes in the T-box leader family. T-boxes are found upstream of many aminoacyl-tRNA synthetase genes and some amino acid biosynthetic genes usually in Gram-positive bacteria. The record is from RNAcentral. Lineage: Bacteria; Bacillati; Bacillota; Bacilli; Caryophanales; Bacillaceae.